This is a long non-coding RNA of Tachysurus vachellii, 149 nucleotides long. RefSeq lists it as uncharacterized. Lineage: Eukaryota; Metazoa; Chordata; Actinopteri; Siluriformes; Bagridae. The record is from RefSeq and is a predicted model, not a curated record. The transcript has 3 exons.
GAAAAAACUCCAAAGGCUGAGGUGCAAAAUCAGUGGCAUCGAGAAAACCCUAUGCAGAAUGGAGGUGAAACUUGCAAAGAUGCAAGGGAAGUUUAACAAAGAGACAAAGUGUGUGUCUACGCAAACUGGGAAUGAGCAGAAAGUGGACG